CUACGGGGGGCUGCAGUGGGGAAUAUUGCACAAUGGGCGAAAGCCUGAUGCAGCAACGCCGCGUGAGGGACGACGGCCUUCGGGUUGUAAACCUCUUUUAGCAGGGAAGAAGCGAAAGUGACGGUACCUGCAGAAAAAGCACCGGCUAACUACGUGCCAGCAGCCGCGGUAAUACGUAGGGUGCAAGCGUUGUCCGGAAUUAUUGGGCGUAAAGAGCUCGUAGGCGGUUUGUCGCGUCUGCUGUGAAAAUCCGAGGCUCAACCUCGGACCUGCAGUGGGUACGGGCAAACUAGAGUGCGGUAGGGGGGAUUGGAAUUCCUGGUGUAGCGGUGGAAUGCGCAGAUAUCAGGAGGAACACCAAUGGCGAAGGCAGAUCUCUGGGCCGUAACUGACGCUGAGGAGCGAAAGCGUGGGGAGCGAACAGGAUUAGAUACCCGGGUAGUC
This 444-nucleotide ribosomal RNA is filed under the name uncultured bacterium. RNAcentral describes it as "partial 16S ribosomal RNA". It matches the Rfam family "Bacterial small subunit ribosomal RNA", at positions 339 to 795 of the family's 1533-position model. The record is from RNAcentral.